RNAcentral lists this ribosomal RNA (790 nucleotides) under uncultured archaeon. RNAcentral's name for it is "bacterial SSU rRNA". It matches the Rfam family "Archaeal small subunit ribosomal RNA", at positions 85 to 876 of the family's 1478-position model. The record is from RNAcentral.
ACGGCUCAGUAACACGUGGACAACCUACCCUCAGCACGGGGAUAAACCCGGGAAACUGGGUAUAAUACCCGAUAGUUCUGGUUUGCUGGAAUGCUUCCAGGACGAAAGCUCCGGCGACUGAGGAUGGGUCUGCGGCCUAUCAGGUAGUAGUGGGUGUAAUGUACCUACUAGCCUACGACGGGUACGGGUCGUGAGAGCGAGAGCCCGGAGAUGGAUUCUGAGACACGAAUCCAGGCCCUACGGGGUGCAGCAGGCGCGAAAACUUUACAAUGCUGGCAACAGCGAUAAGGGGACCUCGAGUGCCAGGAUACAAUCUUGGCUGUCGCAAUGCCUAAAAAGCAUUGCAUAGCAAGGGCCGGGCAAGACCGGUGCCAGCCGCCGCGGUAACACCGGCGGCUCGAGUGGUAACCGCUAUUAUUGGGUCUAAAGGGUCUGUAGCCGGCCGGAUAAGUCUCUUGGGAAAUCCAGCUGCUCAACAGUUGGGCUUUCAGGAGAUACUGUUCGGCUCGAGGCCGGGAGAGGUGAGAGGUACUUCAGGGGUAGGGGUGAAAUCUUGUAAUCCUUGAAGGACCACCAGUGGCGAAGGCGUCUCACCAGAACGGACCUGACGGCAAGGGACGAAAGCUAGGGGCACGAACCGGAUUAGAUACCCGGGUAGUCCUAGCCGUAAACGAUACUCGCUAGGUGUCAGCCACGGUGCGACCGUGGUUGGUGCCGUAGGGAAGCCGUGAAGCGAGCCACCUGGGAAGUACGGCCGCAAGGCUGAAACUUAAAGGAAUUGGCGGGGGAG